RNAcentral lists this ribosomal RNA (403 nucleotides) under uncultured prokaryote. Its description in RNAcentral is "bacterial SSU rRNA". It matches the Rfam family "Bacterial small subunit ribosomal RNA", at positions 355 to 776 of the family's 1533-position model. The record is from RNAcentral. RNAcentral also lists the same sequence under 1 other name.
UGGGGAAUAUUGCACAAUGGGCGAAAGCCUGAUGCAGCAAUGCCGCGUGAGGGAUGAAGGCCUUCGGGUCGUAAACCUCUGUCCUUGGGGAAGAUAAUGACGGUACCCUUGGAGGAAGUCCCGGCUAACUACGUGCCAGCAGCCGCGGUAAUACGUAGGGGGCAAGCGUUAUCCGGAAUUAUUGGGCGUAAAGGGUGCGUAGGCGGUUUCUUAUGCGCGGGGUGAAAGGCAAUGGCUCAACCAUUGUUAGCCUCGCGAACUGGGAGGCUUGAGUGCAGGAGAGGAAAGUGGAAUUCCUAGUGUAGCGGUGAAAUGCGUAGAUAUUAGGAGGAACACCAGUGGCGAAGGCGACUUUCUGGACUGUAACUGACGCUGAGGCACGAAAGUGUGGGGAGCAAACAGG